Molecule: non-coding RNA, 24 nt
Filed under: Bombyx mori (domestic silkworm)
Lineage: Eukaryota; Metazoa; Arthropoda; Insecta; Lepidoptera; Bombycidae
Also listed under: 2 other names
Source: RNAcentral
GGGGAACCUGCGGAAGGAUCAUUA